Long non-coding RNA from Parus major (Great Tit), 704 nucleotides. RefSeq lists it as uncharacterized. The transcript is spliced from 3 exons. The record is from RefSeq and is a predicted model, not a curated record. NCBI's taxonomy places the organism in Eukaryota, Metazoa, Chordata, Aves, Passeriformes, Paridae.
CCUUGCGCUGCGCUCCCUGCCCCGCACCUGCCCCGCACCCGCCCGCAGGCCGUCGGCCGCCAGCCCCUUCCCCACGGAGAAACAAAAGAGCCCCGCUGAAGAGGCGGACGGGUGGCUUUCGACAGGUUCUUAACGGGAUUUUCCUCCUCGCACCCCCUUCCUUUUCUUUUCUCUGUCCCCCAAAACGCGCGGCCCCUUCGGAGGCGCGGGCGGCCUGGGAAGCGGCCCCUGGCCAGGGGACACAGCGGUGCGUGGCCACCCGGGCACGGGGAGCGGGGGCCCAGCUGUCUCUAACGAUUCCUGCGAUCACUGAGCUCCAAAACCGGCGGGACAAGGGCCGCGGAUCUCGUUUGGGGCCCGCAGCCGGGUGGCACCGCACCGGCACCGCAGCGGUACCGCCCGGCCCCCAGCGGGGCACCGGCACCGGGGGAUGCUCCGUGCACAGCUCUCGGUCCCACCAGCCAAAACUGAGCUUCUCCUUCCUUUAAACAGAAUAGCCAUAUUUUCGGUUCGUUUCCAAGACCUUAUGUUCGUUUACAAGCUCGUUAUGAAGCCUUGAAGGAGCUCUGUUUCUGGAGGCUGCAGGAGGCAUCAGGGAAGAAAGAACGAAAAUGCAUCCAAACCUCUGUCUGCGCGUCGGGGAAGGCUGGAGGUGCGGGUGGACGGACGGACGGACGGACGGACGGACGGACGGACGGAGGCAG